This 570-nucleotide ribosomal RNA is filed under the name uncultured bacterium. RNAcentral describes it as "bacterial SSU rRNA". It matches the Rfam family "Bacterial small subunit ribosomal RNA", at positions 240 to 803 of the family's 1533-position model. The record is from RNAcentral.
AUUAGCUAGUUGGUGGGGUAACGGCUCACCAAGGCGACGAUCGGUAGCCGGCCAGAGAGGGCGGACGGCCACACUGGGACUGAGACACGGCCCAGACUCCUACGGGAGGCAGCAGUGGGGAAUUGUUCGCAAUGGGCGCAAGCCUGACGACGCAACGCCGCGUGGAGGAUGAAGGUCUUCGGAUUGUAAACUCCUGUUGCCCGGGACGAAUGGCUCCAACCUAAUACGUUGGAGUGUGACGGUACCGGGUGAGGAAGCCCCGGCUAACUCUGUGCCAGCAGCCGCGGUAAUACAGAGGGGGCAAGCGUUGUUCGGAAUUACUGGGCGUAAAGGGCGCGUAGGCGGCCUUUUAAGUCGAACGUGAAAUCCCCGGGCUCAACCCGGGAACUGCGUCCGAGACUGGAAGGCUCGAAUCCGGGAGAGGGAUGUGGAAUUCCAGGUGUAGCGGUGAAAUGCGUAGAUAUCUGGAGGAACAUCGGUGGCGAAGGCGGCAUCCUGGACCGGUAUUGACGCUGAGGCGCGAAAGCCAGGGGAGCAAACGGGAUUAGAUACCCCGGUAGUCCUGGCCCU